GAAGGCCUUCGGGUUGUAAAUCUGCUUUUGUACGGAACGAAAAGCCCUGGGUUAAUACCCUGGGGUCAUGACGGUACCGUAAGAAUAAGCACCGGCUAACUACGUGCCAGCAGCCGCGGUAAUACGUAGGGUGCAAGCGUUAAUCGGAAUUACUGGGCGUAAAGCGUGCGCAGGCGGUUUUGUAAGACAGAGGUGAAAUCCCCGGGCUCAACCUGGGAACUGCCUUUGUGACUGCAAGGCUAGAGUACGGCAGAGGGGGAUGGAAUUCCGCGUGUAGCAGUGAAAUGCGUAGAUAUGCGGAGGAACACCGAUGGCGAAGGCAAUCCCCUGGGCCUGUACUGACGCUCAUGCACGAAAGCGUGGGGAGCAAACAGGAUUAGAUACCCUGGUAGUCCACGCCCUAAACGAUGUCAACUGGUUGUUGGG
RNAcentral lists this ribosomal RNA (426 nucleotides) under uncultured Comamonas sp. RNAcentral's name for it is "bacterial SSU rRNA". It matches the Rfam family "Bacterial small subunit ribosomal RNA", at positions 410 to 827 of the family's 1533-position model. The record is from RNAcentral. Lineage: Bacteria; Pseudomonadati; Pseudomonadota; Betaproteobacteria; Burkholderiales; Comamonadaceae.